This 230-nucleotide long non-coding RNA is filed under the name Medicago truncatula (barrel medic). Its description in RNAcentral is "long non-coding RNA (MTRU_LNC002683)". Lineage: Eukaryota; Viridiplantae; Streptophyta; Magnoliopsida; Fabales; Fabaceae. The record is from RNAcentral.
AGAAACUAAAAACAAUGAAAAACUCAUUCAAAUAUUUCAUCAAACACUUGAUGUGCACAUUAUACAUAGACUCUAAAAUUCAUAAAAAUAACCUUAAAAUUAUAAAUCAUAUACUCUUGCUAAAAUAAAAAAAAUUAAUCAUAUAACAUAAAAAUAACCCUAAAAUUAUAAAUCAUCUACCCUAAAAAUUAAUUAUAACAUGUAAAUCUACUAACAAAAUUAAAAAAAAA